UGAGUAACACGUAUCCAACCUGCCGUCUACUCUUGGACAGCCUUCUGAAAGGAAGAUUAAUACAAGAUGGCAUCAUGAGUCCACAUGUUCACAUGAUUAAAGGUAUUCCGGUAGACGAUGGGGAUGCGUUCCAUUAGAUAGUAGGCGGGGUAACGGCCCACCCAGUCUUCGAUGGAUAGGGGUUCUGAGAGGAAGGUCCCCCACAUUGGAACUGAGACACGGUCCAA
This 227-nucleotide ribosomal RNA is filed under the name uncultured bacterium. RNAcentral describes it as "partial 16S ribosomal RNA". It matches the Rfam family "Bacterial small subunit ribosomal RNA", at positions 107 to 334 of the family's 1533-position model. The record is from RNAcentral.